AACGAUAUAUUUUAUUAAGAAUAUUGGGUUUGCGUCUCAAGGGUGGAUAGUCUUCCUUUCGUUA
RNAcentral lists this transfer RNA (64 nucleotides) under Testudotaenia sp. WL-2016. RNAcentral's name for it is "tRNA-Ala". The record is from RNAcentral. Lineage: Eukaryota; Metazoa; Platyhelminthes; Cestoda; Proteocephalidea; Proteocephalidae.